ACUCGGCUGGAGCCAGACGGACACCGCGAGCUCCGCAAGGACUGGAAGGAGAUCCACCGGCGGCACGGACAGCAGCAACAGCGGCCGGAGAAGCAGCAGCAACAGCGGAGAGAGAGAUCCGCGGCCGGAGACACCAGCGCACAGAGCGCAACACGGCAGGCGGGCAGAGUUACUCUGCCCCCGCGCGGGCCGGGCCGAGGAGGAGGCAGAUUGGAUCCACCGUGCGGCGAUCCUGUGGUUCCCAGACGACGACGCCGGCCUUGGAGGUUCCUUGGUCGAGAGCUCAGCAGGGCCGGACUGGACCGCCUUGUCCCUUGGGGCCCUGCGCACACUCGAUUGAACACUUUUUUUCCCUUGGCGUUAUCAUCAGGGUUUUGUAAUAAAUGUCCCUUUUUAAUUUGC
Nothobranchius furzeri (turquoise killifish) is the source of this 402-nucleotide long non-coding RNA. RefSeq lists it as uncharacterized. NCBI's taxonomy places the organism in Eukaryota, Metazoa, Chordata, Actinopteri, Cyprinodontiformes, Nothobranchiidae. The record is from RefSeq and is a predicted model, not a curated record.